UACAGAGGUGGCAAGCGUUAAUCGGAAUUACUGGGCGUAAAGCGUGCGCAGGCGGUUAUGUAAGACAGGUGUGAAAUCCCCGGGCUUAACCUGGGAACUGCAUUUGUGACUGCAUAGCUAGAGUACGGUAGAGGGGGAUGGAAUUCCGCGUGUAGCAGUGAAAUGCGUAGAUAUGCGGAGGAACACCGAUGGCGAAGGCAAUCCCCUGGACCUGUACUGACGCUCAUGCACGAAAGCGUGGGGAGCAAACAGG
This 253-nucleotide ribosomal RNA is filed under the name uncultured bacterium. Its description in RNAcentral is "partial 16S ribosomal RNA". It matches the Rfam family "Bacterial small subunit ribosomal RNA", at positions 524 to 776 of the family's 1533-position model. The record is from RNAcentral.